RNAcentral lists this ribosomal RNA (253 nucleotides) under uncultured bacterium. RNAcentral describes it as "partial 16S ribosomal RNA". It matches the Rfam family "Bacterial small subunit ribosomal RNA", at positions 524 to 776 of the family's 1533-position model. The record is from RNAcentral.
UACGUAGGGCGCAAGCGUUAUCCGGAAUUAUUGGGCGUAAAGAGCUCGUAGGCGGUUUGUCGCGUCUGCCGUGAAAGUCCGGGGCUCAACUCCGGAUCUGCGGUGGGUACGGGCAGACUAGAGUGAUGUAGGGGAGACUGGAAUUCCUGGUGUAGCGGUGAAAUGCGCAGAUAUCAGGAGGAACACCAGUGGCGAAGGCGGGUCUCUGGGCCGAUACUGACGCUGAGGAGCGAAAGCGUGGGGAGCGAACAGG